UCUGGGUCAUUUAGAGGAAGUAAAAGUCGUAACAAGGUUUCCGUAGGUGAACCUGCGGAAGGAUCAUUACUGAUUUGUUUAAUUGCACCACAUGUGUUUUUUAUUGAACAAAUUUUUUUGGUGGCGGGAGCAAUCCUACCGCCAGAGGUUAUAACUAAACCAAACUUUUUAUUUACAGUCAAACUUGAUUUAUUAUUACAAUAGUCAAAACUUUCAACAACGGAUCUUUUGGUUCUCGCAUCGAUGAAGAACGCAGCGAAAUGCGAUACGUAAUAUGAAUUGCAGAUAUUCGUGAAUCAUCGAAUCUUUGAACGCACAUUGCCCCCUUGGGUAUUCCAAAGGGCAUGCCUGUUUGAGCGUCAUUUUUCCCUCAAACCCCCGGGUUGGGUGUUGAGCAAUACGCUAGGUUUGUUUGAAAGAAUUUACGUGGAAACUUAUUUUAAGCGACUUAGGUUUAUCCAAAACGCUUAUUUUGUAGNGGCCACCACAAUUUAUUUCAUAACUUGACCUCAAAUCAGGUAGGUCUGGGUCAUUUAGAGGAAGUAAAAGUCGUAACAAGGUUUCCGUAGGUGAACCUGCGGAAGGAUCAUUACUGAUUUGUUUAAUUGCACCACAUGUGUUUUUUAUUGAACAAAUUUUUUUGGUGGCGGGAGCAAUCCUACCGCCAGAGGUUAUAACUAAACCAAACUUUUUAUUUACAGUCAAACUUGAUUUAUUAUUACAAUAGUCAAAACUUUCAACAACGGAUCUUUUGGUUCUCGCAUCGAUGAAGAACGCAGCGAAAUGCGAUACGUAAUAUGAAUUGCAGAUAUUCGUGAAUCAUCGAAUCUUUGAACGCACAUUGCCCCCUUGGGUAUUCCAAAGGGCAUGCCUGUUUGAGCGUCAUUUUUCCCUCAAACCCCCGGGUUGGGUGUUGAGCAAUACGCUAGGUUUGUUUGAAAGAAUUUACGUGGAAACUUAUUUUAAGCGACUUAGGUUUAUCCAAAACGCUUAUUUUGUAGNGGCCACCACAAUUUAUUUCAUAACUUGACCUCAAAUCAGGUAGG
This 1046-nucleotide ribosomal RNA is filed under the name Candida tropicalis. RNAcentral's name for it is "eukaryotic LSU rRNA". The stretch from base 209 to 362 matches the Rfam family "5.8S ribosomal RNA". Lineage: Eukaryota; Fungi; Ascomycota; Pichiomycetes; Serinales; Debaryomycetaceae. The record is from RNAcentral.